AUUGAACGCUGGCGGCAGGCUUAACACAUGCAAGUCGAGCGGAGGCUUCGGUCUUAGCGGCGAACGGGUGAGUAAUACCUAGGAAUCUGCCUAUUAGUGGGGGAUAACGAAUCGAAAGGUUCGCUAAUACCGCAUACGUCCUACGGGAGAAAGGGGGGGAUCUUCGGACCUCUCGCUAAUAGAUGAGCCUAGGCCGGAUUAGCUAGUUGGUAGGGUAAAGGCCUACCAAGGCGACGAUCUGUAGCUGGUCUGAGAGGAUGGCCAGCCACACUGGAACUGAGACACGGUCCAGACUCCUACGGGAGGCAGCAGUGGGGAAUAUUGGACAAUGGGGGCAACCCUGAUCCAGCCAUGCCGCGUGUGUGAAGAA
Molecule: ribosomal RNA, 370 nt
Filed under: uncultured bacterium
Lineage: Bacteria
Description: bacterial SSU rRNA
Rfam family: Bacterial small subunit ribosomal RNA
Source: RNAcentral